Molecule: ribosomal RNA, 253 nt
Filed under: uncultured bacterium
Lineage: Bacteria
Description: partial 16S ribosomal RNA
Rfam family: Bacterial small subunit ribosomal RNA
Source: RNAcentral
UACGUAGGGGGCUAGCGUUGUCCGGAAUCAUUGGGCGUAAAGCGCGUGUAGGCGGUCUGGUAAGUCCGCUGUGAAAGUCGGGGGCUCAACCCUCGGAUGCCGGUGGAUACUGUCGGGCUUGAGUACGGAAGAGGCGAGUGGAAUUCCUGGUGUAGCGGUGAAAUGCGCAGAUAUCAGGAGGAACACCAAUGGCGAAGGCAGCUCUCUGGGACGGUACUGACGCUGAGACGCGAAAGCGUGGGGAGCGAACAGG